CAGUAGCCGCGGUAAUACGGGGGGGGCAAGUGUUAUUCGGAAUGACUGGGCGUAAAGGGCACGUAGGCGGUGAAAAGGGUGGAAAGUGAAAGUCGCCAAAACACUGGCGGGGUGCUUUCUUGACCAUUUCACUUGAGUGAGAUAGGGGAGAGUGGAAUUUCGUGUGGAGGGAUCAAAUCCUAAGAUAUACGAAGGAACGCCAACCGCGAAGGCAGCUCUCUGGGUCCCCACUGACGCUGGGGUGCGAAAGCAUGGGGAGCAAACAGGAUCAGAUACCCGUGUAGUCCCUGUCUCUUAUACA
RNAcentral lists this ribosomal RNA (301 nucleotides) under uncultured bacterium. RNAcentral's name for it is "partial 16S ribosomal RNA". It matches the Rfam family "Bacterial small subunit ribosomal RNA", at positions 509 to 808 of the family's 1533-position model. The record is from RNAcentral.